This 492-nucleotide ribosomal RNA is filed under the name uncultured bacterium. RNAcentral describes it as "partial 16S ribosomal RNA". It matches the Rfam family "Bacterial small subunit ribosomal RNA", at positions 29 to 507 of the family's 1533-position model. The record is from RNAcentral.
AGUGAACGCUGGCGGCAUGCCUAACACAUGCAAGUCGAACGGCAGCACAGUAAGAGCUUGCUCUUACGGGUGGCGAGUGGCGGACGGGUGAGGAAUACAUCGGAAUCUACUUUUACGUGGGGGAUAACGUAGGGAAACAUACGCUAAUACCGCAUACGACCUACGGGUGAAAGCAGGGGAUCUUCGGACCUUGCGCGAUAGAAUGAGCUGAUGGCGGAUUAGCUAGGUGGCGGGGUAAAGGCCCAGCAAGGCGACGAUCCGUAGCUGGUCUGAGUGGAUGAUCCCUCACACUGGAACUGCGACACCGUCCAGACUCCUCGAGGCGGCCGCGUUGGGCAAUUUUGGCCAAUGGGCGCAAUCUUGAUCCAGCCAUUCCGCUUUGGUGAAGAAGUCCUUCGGGUUGUAGAGCGCUUUUGUUGGGUAAUACCGUCAGCAGCUUACUCCCCCGCUGUUCUGACGGUACCUAAAGAAUAAGCACCGGCUAACUUCGUG